This 612-nucleotide ribosomal RNA is filed under the name uncultured bacterium. Its description in RNAcentral is "bacterial SSU rRNA". It matches the Rfam family "Bacterial small subunit ribosomal RNA", at positions 338 to 946 of the family's 1533-position model. The record is from RNAcentral.
CCUACGGGAGGCAGCAGUGAGGAAUAUUGGACAAUGGGCGCAAGCCUGAUCCAGCCAUGCCGCGUGCAGGAUGACGGUCCUAUGGAUUGUAAACUGCUUUUAUACAGGAAGAAACACCUCUACGUGUAGAGACUUGACGGUACUGUAAGAAUAAGGAUCGGCUAACUCCGUGCCAGCAGCCGCGGUAAUACGGAGGAUCCAAGCGUUAUCCGGAAUCAUUGGGUUUAAAGGGUCCGUAGGCGGUUUAGUAAGUCAGUGGUGAAAGCCCAUCGCUCAACGGUGGAACGGCCAUUGAUACUGCUAGACUUGAAUUAUUAGGAAGUAACUAGAAUAUGUAGUGUAGCGGUGAAAUGCUUAGAGAUUACAUGGAAUACCAAUUGCGAAGGCAGGUUACUACUAAUUGAUUGACGCUGAUGGACGAAAGCGUGGGUAGCGAACAGGAUUAGAUACCCUGGUAGUCCACGCCGUAAACGAUGGAUACUAGCUGUUGGGAGCAAUCUCAGUGGCUAAGCGAAAAGUGAUAAGUAUCCCACCUGGGGAGUACGAACGCAAGUUUGAAACUCAAAGAGUAGUAGACGAGAGAGAGCGACGACGACGACGAGGAGGGAGGNG